AUUGAACGCUGGCGGCAGGCCUAACACAUGCAAGUCGAGCGGAUGAAGGGAGCUUGCUCCUGGAUUCAGCGGCGGACGGGUGAGUAAUGCCUAGGAAUCUGCCUGGUAGUGGGGGAUAACGUCCGGAAACGGGCGCUAAUACCGCAUACGUCCUGAGGGAGAAAGUGGGGGAUCUUCGGACCUCACGCUAUCAGAUGAGCCUAGGUCGGAUUAGCUAGUUGGUGGGGUAAAGGCCUACCAAGGCGACGAUCCGUAACUGGUCUGAGAGGAUGAUCAGUCACACUGGAACUGAGACACGGUCCAGACUCCUACGGGAGGCAGCAGUGGGGAAUAUUGGACAAUGGGCGGAAGCCUGAUCCAGCCAUGCCGCGUGUAUGAAGAAGGUCUUCGGAUUGUAAAGCACUUUAAGUUGGGAGGAAGGGCAGUAAGUUAAUACCUUGCUGUUUUGACGUUACCAACAGAAUAAGCACCGGCUAACUUCGUG
Molecule: ribosomal RNA, 484 nt
Filed under: uncultured bacterium
Lineage: Bacteria
Description: partial 16S ribosomal RNA
Rfam family: Bacterial small subunit ribosomal RNA
Source: RNAcentral